RNAcentral lists this microRNA precursor (78 nucleotides) under Manduca sexta (tobacco hornworm). Its description in RNAcentral is "mir-2797 microRNA precursor family". It matches the Rfam family "mir-2797 microRNA precursor family". Lineage: Eukaryota; Metazoa; Arthropoda; Insecta; Lepidoptera; Sphingidae. The record is from Rfam by way of RNAcentral.
UUUCGUGAGCUUAAGUAGAUUCUAUUUGGCUAUGUUUAAUUAUUCAAGCCGGAUUGAGUUUACUUAUUCUUACGACAG